Molecule: ribosomal RNA, 492 nt
Filed under: uncultured bacterium
Lineage: Bacteria
Description: partial 16S ribosomal RNA
Rfam family: Bacterial small subunit ribosomal RNA
Source: RNAcentral
AGUGAACGCUGGCGGUAGGCCUAACACAUGCCAGUCGAACGGCAGCACAGUAAGAGCUUGCUCUUACGGGUGGCGAGUGGCGGACGGGUGAGGAGUACAUCGGAAUCUACUUUUUCGUGGGGGAUAACGUAGGGAAACUUACGCUAAUACCGCAUACGACCUACGGGUGAAAGCAGGGGAUCUUCGGACCUUGCGCGAUUGAAUGAGCCGAUGUCGGAUUAGCUAGUUGGCGGGGUAAAGGCCCACCAAGGCGACGAUCCGUAGCUGGUCUGAGAGGAUGAUCAGCGACACUGGAACUGAGACACGGUCCAGACUCCUACGGGAGGCAGCAGUGGGGAAUAUUGGACAAUGGGCGCAAGCCUGAUCCAGCGAUACCGCGUGGGUGAAGAAGGCCUUCGGGUUGUAAAGCCCUUUUGUUGGGAAAGAAAAGCAGCAGGUUAAUACCCCGCUGUUCUGACGGUACCCAAAGAAUAAGCACCGGCUAACUUCGUG